RNAcentral lists this transfer RNA (72 nucleotides) under Camelus bactrianus (Bactrian camel). It matches the Rfam family "tRNA". From Rfam's summary of the family: Transfer RNA (tRNA) molecules are approximately 80 nucleotides in length. Their secondary structure includes four short double-helical elements and three loops (D, anti-codon, and T loops). The record is from Rfam by way of RNAcentral. Lineage: Eukaryota; Metazoa; Chordata; Mammalia; Artiodactyla; Camelidae. RNAcentral also lists the same sequence under 2 other names.
GAGGGUAUAGCUCAAUGGUAGAGCACAUGCUUAGCAUGCACAAGGUCCUGGGUUCAAUCCCCAGCACCUCUA